RNAcentral lists this ribosomal RNA (276 nucleotides) under Alexandrium margalefii. RNAcentral describes it as "partial Bacterial small subunit ribosomal RNA". It matches the Rfam family "Bacterial small subunit ribosomal RNA", at positions 26 to 332 of the family's 1533-position model. Lineage: Eukaryota; Dinophyceae; Gonyaulacales; Pyrocystaceae. The record is from RNAcentral.
AGAACGAACGCUGGCGGCAUGCCUAACACAUGCAAGUCGAACGAACCCUUCGGGGUGAGUGGCGCACGGGUGCGUAACGCGUGGGAACCUGCCCUUAGGUUUGGAAUAACAGUGAGAAAUCGCUGCUAAUACCAAAUAAUGUCUUCGGACCAAAGAUUUAUCGCCUUUGGAUGGGCCCGCGUUGGAUUAGCUUUGGUGAGGUAAAGGCUCACCAAGGCGACGAUCCAUAGCUGGUCUUAGAGGAUGAUCAGCCACACUGGGACUGAGACACGGCCC